CCUACGGGCGGCAGCAGUGAGGAAUAUUGGUCAAUGGGCGUGCGCCUGAACCAGCCAAGUAGCGUGAAGGAUGACUGCCCUACGGGUUGUAAACUUCUUUUAUAAAGGAACAAAGUGAGGCACGUGUGCCUUUUUUUAUGUACUUUAUGAAUAAGGAUUGGCUAACUCCGUGCCAGCAGCCGCGGUAAUACGGAGGAUCCGAGCGUUAUCCGGAUUUAUUGGGUUUAAAGGGAGCGUAGAUGGGUUGUUAAGUCAGUUGUGAACGUUUGCGGCUCAACCGUAAAAUUGCAAUUGAAACUGGCAGUCUUGAGUACGGUUGAGGUAGGCGGAAUGCGUGGUGUAGCGGUGAAAUGCAUAGAUAUCACGAAGAACUCCGAUUGCGAAGGCAGCUUACUAAACUGCCACUGACAUUGAUGCUCGAAAGUGUGGGUAUCAAACAGGAUUAGAUACCCGGGUAGUC
This 460-nucleotide ribosomal RNA is filed under the name uncultured bacterium. Its description in RNAcentral is "partial 16S ribosomal RNA". It matches the Rfam family "Bacterial small subunit ribosomal RNA", at positions 338 to 795 of the family's 1533-position model. The record is from RNAcentral.